Molecule: ribosomal RNA, 433 nt
Filed under: uncultured bacterium
Lineage: Bacteria
Description: partial 16S ribosomal RNA
Rfam family: Bacterial small subunit ribosomal RNA
Source: RNAcentral
AACGAACGCUGGCGGCAUGCCUAACACAUGCAAGUCGAACGAGACCUUCGGGUCUAGUGGCGCACUGGUGCGUAACGCGUGGGAACCUGCCUUUAGGUUUGGAAGAACGCAGAGGAAUUUGAGCUAAUACCGGAUGAUGUCUUCGGACCAAAGAUUUAUCGCCUUUAGAUGGGCUCGCGUUGGAUUAGCUAGUUGGUGGGGUAAAUGCCUACCAAGGCUACGUUACAUACAUGGUCUGAGAGGCUGAUCAGCCACACUGGGACUGAGAAACGGCCCAGAAUACUACGGGAGGCAGCAGUGGGGAAUAUUGGAAAGUGGGCGAAAGGAUGAUCCACCAAUGACGCGUGAGUGAUGAAGGCCUUAGGGUUGUAAAGCAAUUUUACCCGAGACGAUAAUGACAGUAUCGGGAGAAUAAGCUCCGGCUAACUUCGUG